CAGCCGCCGCGGUAAUACGUAGGUGGCAAGCGUUGUCCGGAAUUAUUGGGCGUAAAGGGCUCGCAGGCGGUUUCUUAAGUCUGAUGUGAAAGCCCCCGGCUCAACCGGGGAGGGUCAUUGGAAACUGGGAAACUUGAGUGCAGAAGAGGAGAGUGGAAUUCCACGUGUAGCGGUGAAAUGCGUAGAGAUGUGGAGGAACACCAGUGGCGAAGGCGACUCUCUGGUCUGUAACUGACGCUGAGGAGCGAAAGCGUGGGGAGCGAACAGGAUUAGAUACCCCGGUAGUCCCUGUCCUUAUACA
Molecule: ribosomal RNA, 301 nt
Filed under: uncultured bacterium
Lineage: Bacteria
Description: partial 16S ribosomal RNA
Rfam family: Bacterial small subunit ribosomal RNA
Source: RNAcentral